RNAcentral lists this ribosomal RNA (253 nucleotides) under uncultured bacterium. RNAcentral's name for it is "partial 16S ribosomal RNA". It matches the Rfam family "Bacterial small subunit ribosomal RNA", at positions 524 to 776 of the family's 1533-position model. The record is from RNAcentral.
UACAGAGGGUGCGAGCGUUAAUCGGAAUUACUGGGUUUAAAGGGUGUGUAGGCGGACUAUUAAGUCAGCGGUGAAAUCUCCGGGCUCAACCCGGAAACUGCCAUUGAUACUAUUAGUCUUGAAUGUUGUUGAGGUGGGCGGAACGGGUCAUGUAGCGGUGAAAUGCAUAGAUAUGACCCGGAACACCGAUUGCGAAGGCAGCCCACUAAGCAACGAUUGACGCUGAGGCACGAAAGCGUGGGGAUCAAACAGG